Molecule: ribosomal RNA, 225 nt
Filed under: Acidobacteriota bacterium
Lineage: Bacteria; Pseudomonadati; Acidobacteriota
Description: partial 23S ribosomal RNA
Rfam family: Bacterial large subunit ribosomal RNA
Source: RNAcentral
ACGAACCUCUUGUGAUCCAGUUGUGGCGCCAGCCGCAUCGCUGGGUAGCGAAGUUCGGUCAGGAUAAACGCUGAAUGCAUAUAAGCGUGAAACCUUCCCCAAGAUGAGAUCUCCCAAGCGCAAGCUAAGAAGGGCACUGGUAGACUACCAGUUUGAUAGGACGGGUGUGUAAGCGCAGUAAUGCGUUGAGCUGACCGUUACUAAUUGCCCGUUCGGCUUGACCAU